GCAUCGGUAAAGCUACGGGUUUGAGCACGCGAUUUCGGAUAGGUGAGACGUGGGUUCGAGUCCCGCCUGAUGCA
Molecule: non-coding RNA, 74 nt
Organism: Parelaphostrongylus tenuis
Lineage: Eukaryota; Metazoa; Nematoda; Chromadorea; Rhabditida; Metastrongylidae
Source: the annotation of a GenBank genome assembly